AAAGCAAGAAGGAGAAGAGGCAUUCGCGAUCUCCUCUCUCUCUCUCUCUCUCUCUUUUUCGCAUUCGACUUAGCUCCCCUCUUCGGUUCCUCUCUCUCUCAAGAGGUAAGCCAUGCUCCUUCUUCUCGGUUCGUCUUAAUUUGUGUUAAUUCGAUUUAAUUGCGUAGAUCAGUGUCUCUUUUUGUUCUCAUUCUUUUUGUUUGUGGUUUUGAUUUUGGUGUUACAUGCAUAAUGGAGUAUGGAUAUUUUCUACGAGAGAAACUCAUAAUAUGUUGAGUCGAGAGAAGCCUCGGGCUAACUGUCACACCUUGGUAAGGAAUGUCGCUAUGGUCCCAUCUCGAGUUUGAUAGCUUUUAGCUACUUGACUAGUGUGUUAUUAAACAUCAUGCGCUUGGAGUUUCCGGAUGAGUCGAAGCUCCAAGAGAAGUGUUUCAUAUUCAACUUUAUUGUUAGAGAUUUUGAACUCAAAAUAGAAAGCCUAUUCGUAUGCCUAUUUGUUCGAAUAUUUCAAGAUAAGUUAGGCACUAUCCCUUUCUGAUAUGGCGAAACCAUCUAUUAAUAAGAUCUAGAUAAAGGGGGUGUGCUCAUCUCACUUCAAUCUCAAGUGAGAGAGUUAGCUUUAGUAUAAAAGUCAUCGAUGCUUGAGUCUUGAUGAUAACCCUUGGUACAUAUCGGAUGUUGAACUCGUCUAGCUACUCGAUCACUUCCUGAGACGUCAAAUCACAAUAGAACCUACUUUGAAUGAUUGGUCAGUGAUCACUUACAUGAUAUGCGUUUGAAAAUAGAGACGAAGUUUUCUUAUCGUAAUACUAAAGCAUCUCAUACAAGUAAUCACCGACCGACCAACUCAAGUAGGUUGAUCCAAGCGCAUCUCCCUUAAUAAAAAAAAAAAGACCUAUUUUUUUAUUCGUUAUUUUUUUUAAAAUUCAGGAUAGAUGUCUCUAUUUUCAUUUUUCUUAGAUGAUCCGCAUAUUUUUUUCUAUCGCCGUCACUCUAUCAGGACGCCUCGAGACCCAACAUAGAGUCGAUGGUUGGAUGCAGACGUUUGAUUCCAUCUCGCAACGCGCGGAGGGGUUUCGAGGAGCAGAUCACCGGUGUCUCGAUAUCAUGUGGGAUUACGAUCCUGGAGUCUGUUGAUUCCAAGAAAUGUGUGUGGGAGUUCAAUCUGAGCCUUUCUCGAAGGACUUCCUUGAAGGGAUUCGAUUUGGUCCACAUAGAUGUUACUUGUAGCUCGUGUGAUAUGUGUUGUCUCCUAUUUUUCCCCCCUUUGUUUUCAGAUGGAUCUGAACGAGGUGAGGUGUGGCAUGAGAUACAGAGAUUCCGCGAGGUUAAAUAACAGGGACAUUCAUCAUGACGAGGUGACCAUUACGGCCUUAUCUAAAUUCCUUGUGCUGUAAUUUUUGCAAAUGGGAUCGCAAAUGUAAUGGUCCUCGCCGAGAUUCGUUUCUCCGAAAGCCCCAAGUUUGCCCUACUAAUACAUUGUUACGGGCAUCGUCUGCAUGUCCAUAUUGGCCAAUCCAAAGAACUUGGUAUUGGAAAUCAAAUCAUUGUGAGGUCUAUGAGUAACCAGCAUAUAUGAAGUCAGAUUUCAGAA
This is a long non-coding RNA of Musa acuminata AAA Group (dessert banana), 1594 nucleotides long. RefSeq lists it as uncharacterized. The transcript has 2 exons. NCBI's taxonomy places the organism in Eukaryota, Viridiplantae, Streptophyta, Magnoliopsida, Zingiberales, Musaceae. The record is from RefSeq and is a predicted model, not a curated record.